This 495-nucleotide ribosomal RNA is filed under the name uncultured bacterium. RNAcentral describes it as "partial 16S ribosomal RNA". It matches the Rfam family "Bacterial small subunit ribosomal RNA", at positions 28 to 507 of the family's 1533-position model. The record is from RNAcentral.
GAUGAACGCUGGCGGCGUGCCUAAUACAUGCAAGUAGAACGCUGAAGGAGGAGCUUGCUCUUCUGGAUGAGUUGCGAACGGGUGAGUAACGCGUAGGUAACCUGCCUGGUAGCGGGGGAUAACUAUUGGAAACGAUAGCUAAUACCGCAUGACAACAGUUAUUGCAUGAUAACUGUUUAAAAGGGGGAACUGCUCCACUACCAGAUGGACCUGCGUUGUAUUAGCUAGUUGGUGAGGUAACGGCUCACCAAGGCGACGAUACAUAGCCGACCUGAGAGGGUGAUCGGCCACACUGGGACUGAGACACGGCCCAGACUCCUACGGGAGGCAGCAGUAGGGAAUCUUCGGCAAUGGACGGAAGUCUGACCGAGCAACGCCGCGUGAGUGAAGAAGGUUUUCGGAUCGUAAAGCUCUGUUGUAAGAGAAGAACGAGUGUGAGAGUGGAAAGUUCACACUGUGACGGUAGCUUACCAGAAAGGGACGGCUAACUACGUG